GAAUAAGUGUCUAUGAGACUAGUACUAUUAGAGAGAUUAACAGGGAGUGGAGGCCGUGACUGGAAGCCUUCUUAAGGGAACUAUUAGGAAUUCACUCAGCUAAAGACAAUUAAUUAAGGUCUGAUGACAUCAGAUAAAAACGGAUGGUACCGCGUGUCAACGCUCCGCUG
This 170-nucleotide unclassified non-coding RNA is filed under the name Streptococcus canis. RNAcentral's name for it is "T-box". Lineage: Bacteria; Bacillati; Bacillota; Bacilli; Lactobacillales; Streptococcaceae. The record is from RNAcentral.